AUGGAAAUGAGAUCAUGUCACAGAAGAGGUCAGAAGAAAGGAAUGGCUCUAAAGGGUGAUAUCUGGCUUCUGAGGCCAAUAAAUGCCUUUUCUGGUGGAUGGAUGUUUUAUGUGAGGCCGUGUAUUCCCUUUGAGUUAUGUGGUAUUAUCAAAGAAAACCAGAAAAGUGUAUAUCUUCCAAAGAGACGUGUAAAGGAGCUGGUGGCACACUGGGGACAUCAGCAGGUGGAUCUGGGAUUUUGCUGUGUCCUUACCCCAAGGGAAGCAGAGCAAGGAUUUGCUGUACAGUCACCCCUGGUCAGGAAUCUAGAGAUGAGAAAUGUGCAAAACCAUUUGCAGCCAUGCAUUGCAUCAGAAACCAAGGGGGAAAGAAAAAAUUAGAGGAGUACAAUGUAAUGAAGCAUGGAGCUGGAACUAGGCCACACCUCAGCUGGAAAAUGUCAAAUUCUAUUAUGCCAUCCUCAAAAGCAUAAAUCAUAGCUGCACAUUUUUAAAGGUAUAAAUGAGGGAGGGGAAAAAUAUGUAUUUAUAGUACAGAAUGUUAGAGUAUGGGAUUUUAUUUAUGUAAUGUAGA
This 574-nucleotide long non-coding RNA is filed under the name Cyanistes caeruleus (blue tit). RNAcentral's name for it is "lncRNA (ENSCCEG00000004421.1)". The record is from RNAcentral. Lineage: Eukaryota; Metazoa; Chordata; Aves; Passeriformes; Paridae.